This 67-nucleotide microRNA precursor is filed under the name Xenopus laevis (African clawed frog). Its description in RNAcentral is "Xla-Mir-430-o5q1_pre stem-loop". The record is from RNAcentral. Lineage: Eukaryota; Metazoa; Chordata; Amphibia; Anura; Pipidae.
ACCCAGAACAAGGCUCUCUUCUUUUGACCUUCAGGGAUGGUGAGAAAGUGCUUUCUGUUUUGGGUGA